GAUGAACGCUGGCGGCGUGCCUAAUACAUGCAAGUCGAGCGAACAGACGAGGAGCUUGCUCCUCUGACGUUAGCGGCGGACGGGUGAGUAACACGUGGAUAACCUACCUAUAAGACUGGGAUACCUUCGUGAACCCGGAGCUAAUACCGGAUAAUAUAUUUAACCCGAUGGUUCAAUAGUGACAGACGGUUUUGCUGUACAUUAUAGAUGAAUCCGCGCCGCAUUAGCUAGUUGGUAAGGUAACGGCUUACCAAGGCGACGAUGCGUAGCCGACCUGAGAGGGUGAUCGGCCACACUGGAACUGAGACACGGUCCAGACUCCUACGGGCGGCAGCAGUAGGGAAUCUUCCGCAAUGGGCGAAAGCCUGACGGAGCAAAGCCGCGUGAGUGAUGAAGGUCUUCGGAUCGUAAAACUCUGUUAUUAGGGAAGAACAAAUGUGUAAGUAACUAUGCACGUCUUGACGGUACCUAAUCAGAAAGCCACGGCUAACUACGUG
This 497-nucleotide ribosomal RNA is filed under the name uncultured bacterium. RNAcentral describes it as "partial 16S ribosomal RNA". It matches the Rfam family "Bacterial small subunit ribosomal RNA", at positions 28 to 507 of the family's 1533-position model. The record is from RNAcentral.